This 434-nucleotide ribosomal RNA is filed under the name uncultured bacterium. RNAcentral's name for it is "bacterial SSU rRNA". It matches the Rfam family "Bacterial small subunit ribosomal RNA", at positions 34 to 489 of the family's 1533-position model. The record is from RNAcentral.
GAAUUCACUAGUGAUUCAGGCCUAACACAUGCAAGUCGAGCGAUUUACUUCGGUAAAGAGCGGCGGACGGGUGAGUAACGCGUGGAUAACCUGCCCUGUACACACGGAUAACAUACCGAAAGGUAUGCUAAUACGAGAUAAUAUGCCUUUAUCGCAUGGUAGAAGUAUCAAAGCUUUUGCGGUACAGGAUGGACCCGCGUCUGAUUAGCUAGUUGGUGAGGUAACGGCUCACCAAGGCGACGAUCAGUAGCCGACCUGAGAGGGUGAUCGGCCACAUUGGAACUGAGACACGGUCCAAACUCCUACGGGAGGCAGCAGUGGGGAAUAUUGCACGAUGGGCGAAAGCCUGAUGCAGCAACGCCGCGUGUGCAAUGGAGGCCUUCGGGUCGUAAAGCUCUGUCCUCAAGGAAGAUAAUGACGGUACUGAGAGAGCC